ACUGGCAAACUUGGAGAGACAGAUCUAUGCUUUUGAAGGAAGCUACCUGGAAGACACUCAGAUGUAUGGCAAUAUUAUUCGUGGCUGGGAUCGGUAUCUGACCAACCAGAAAAACUCCAAUAGCAAAAACGAUCGAAGGAACCGGAAGUUUAAGGAAGCUGAGCGGCUCUUCAGUAAAUCCUCAGUUACUUCAGCAGCUGCAGUAAGUGCAUUGGCAGGAGUUCAGGAUCAGCUCAUUGAAAAGAGUAAGUUUAUU
Molecule: non-coding RNA, 256 nt
Organism: Leptonychotes weddellii (Weddell seal)
Lineage: Eukaryota; Metazoa; Chordata; Mammalia; Carnivora; Phocidae
Source: RefSeq, a predicted model, not a curated record